UACGUAGGGGGCAAGCGUUGUCCGGAAUCAUUGGGCGUAAAGAGCGUGUAGGCGGCCUGAUAAGUCGGCUGUGAAAGUCAAGGGCUCAACCCUUGAAUGCCGGCCGAUACUGUCAGGCUAGAGUCCGGAAGAGGCGAGUGGAAUUCCUGGUGUAGCGGUGAAAUGCGCAGAUAUCAGGAGGAACACCUAUGGCGAAGGCAGCUCGCUGGGACGGUACUGACGCUGAGACGCGAAAAGCGUGGGGGAGCGAACAGG
This 255-nucleotide ribosomal RNA is filed under the name uncultured bacterium. RNAcentral's name for it is "partial 16S ribosomal RNA". It matches the Rfam family "Bacterial small subunit ribosomal RNA", at positions 524 to 776 of the family's 1533-position model. The record is from RNAcentral.